UGGGGAAGUUUUGGUACAAUGGGCGAAAGCCUGAUCCAGCCAUGCCGCGUGAGUGACGAAGGCCUUAGGGUUGUAAAACUCUUUCGUCGGGGACGAUAAUGACGGUACCCGAAGAAGAAGCUCCGGCUAACUUCGUGCCAGCAGCCGCGGUAAUACGAAGGGAGCUAGCGUUGUUCGGAAUCACUGGGCGUAAAGCGCACGUAGGCGGAUAGUUAAGUCAGGGGUGAAAUCCUGGGGCUCAACCCCAGAACUGCCUUUGAUACUGGCUGUCUCGAGGUCGAGAGAGGUUGGUGGAAUUCCUAGUGUAGAGGUGAAAUUCGUAGAUAUUAGGAAGAACACCAGUGGCGAAGGCGGCCAACUGGCUCGAUACUGACGCUGAGGUGCGAAAGCGUGGGGAGCAAACAGGAUUAGAUACCCCAGUAGUCCCUGAGCGGGCUGGCAAGGCGCAU
This 449-nucleotide ribosomal RNA is filed under the name uncultured bacterium. RNAcentral's name for it is "bacterial SSU rRNA". It matches the Rfam family "Bacterial small subunit ribosomal RNA", at positions 355 to 825 of the family's 1533-position model. The record is from RNAcentral.